CAGGGCCGUAACUAGCCUCUUUUAAUAGUGAGGCAAAAUUUAUUCGCCGAGCGGAGCGAGGCGAAAAAUUUUGGGCGAGGGGUCUGGGGGGGCUUAAAGCCCCCAGAAGCUCUGAGAAAAAUAACGCAAAAUCGUGCAUUCUGAGCGUUUCCCAGACUCUUUCUUGCAUUAAUUUUUAGAUAUUUUUUUCGACAAUCAGGUCCCAAAGCAAAAACAAAGAUUCAUUGUAAUUAAGACUUUUAGGUAUUAGAGACAACAUUAAAAGACCGAUAUGUAG
This 277-nucleotide long non-coding RNA is filed under the name Mytilus galloprovincialis (Mediterranean mussel). Lineage: Eukaryota; Metazoa; Mollusca; Bivalvia; Mytilida; Mytilidae. The record is from RNAcentral.